This 253-nucleotide ribosomal RNA is filed under the name uncultured bacterium. Its description in RNAcentral is "partial 16S ribosomal RNA". It matches the Rfam family "Bacterial small subunit ribosomal RNA", at positions 524 to 776 of the family's 1533-position model. The record is from RNAcentral.
UACAGAGGUCUCAAGCGUUGUUCGGAUUCAUUGGGCGUAAAGGGUGCGUAGGCGGCGCGGUAAGUCGGGUGUGAAAUUUCGAGGCUUAACUUCGAAACUGCAUUCGAUACUGCCGUGCUUGAGGACUGGAGAGGAGACUGGAAUUUACGGUGUAGCGGUGAAAUGCGUAGAUAUCGUAAGGAAGACCAGUGGCGAAGGCGGAUCUCUGGACAGUUCCUGACACUGAGGCACGAAGGCCAGGGGAGCAAACAGG